AGCCCAGAUAUGACUCGUCCAUUCUUUAUUCUAUUGGGUCAGUGACCCGACCCACGGUUGUAAAUAUAAAUACAGGGGUCACCGACUUAUGUGACCCCCGGACUUCACUUUCUUAUUUUGUUCCUUGGUUAAUGUGAUUUUUCUCUCUGACUUUCCAGAGUCUUCUCACCUACUCUCUUCCUUCUCUCUACUUUCUCUCUCUACAAUUUGUAUGAUUCUCUCGUAUAAUCUUCGUGUUAACAUGGUAUCAGAGCUUCGUAGACGAUCCGAUCAUGUUUCUAAGUGUUCGUGUUCAUGGAUGAAGUCUGUAUCGAGGUUUUUUUGGGUGAUUUCUGAGACCGUUUCGUCAAUGAUGAUUUUGUCCAUUGGAAACUUCUCUGAGUGUAUCUGAGUGUCUUUUUCUCUAUUAUACACUUCGGAAAAGCUUUGUGAUGAUUUUGGACGGUUGAUUUUGAUAACUUUUUGGCUUCUAGGGUUUUGACGGUUUGACCUACGGUUUUACCGCAUUCCGGUGCUUGAUUGUUACUCUCUGGACGGUUUGGGUGUUUUUCCGACCUCCUUCACCGACUCUCUGGUAAAGUUUUUGAUUUCCAAAAAUUUUGAAACCUAGGGUUUCUCCGUGUUUGAAGGCCGAUCUUCUCCGGUUGCGAAGAAAGAGGGUAACUCUGUGUCCUUCUUCUCGAUUUAUGUGUGCUUAUCUGACUUUGUAAUAGUGAAUAUCUGGUGGUGGUAUCUUUGAUUACUUGCCCUGAUUGUUGCCCAUCUGUUGGUUAUUGUUGGUUGUUGUGUUUGUAAAUUUGUUCUGCUGUUUGUUGAAAAGCUACUUGUCUAAGCCGAUUUAUUAUGGCUUCUAGCACAAGUACUGGUGCUUCUAACACUGUGGAUUCCUCUAGUCCACUUUUUCUGUAUUCAUCCGAUCUCCCUGGGGUACCUCUUGUCCCCAUCCCAUUUUCGGGUACUGGUUAUGGAGGUUGGAGACGAAAAAUUCUUGUUGCCUUGUCGGCUAAAAAUAAAAUCAGCUUUGUUGAUGGCACCUAUGCCCGUCCUACUACCAAUGUUCCUCAACAGAGGUUAUGGGA
RNAcentral lists this long non-coding RNA (1079 nucleotides) under Nicotiana benthamiana. RNAcentral's name for it is "long non-coding RNA (NBEN_LNC026883)". The record is from RNAcentral. Lineage: Eukaryota; Viridiplantae; Streptophyta; Magnoliopsida; Solanales; Solanaceae.